RNAcentral lists this ribosomal RNA (372 nucleotides) under uncultured organism. Its description in RNAcentral is "partial 16S ribosomal RNA". It matches the Rfam family "Bacterial small subunit ribosomal RNA", at positions 528 to 896 of the family's 1533-position model. The record is from RNAcentral.
GGGGGGGCAAGCGUUUGUUCGGAUUUACUGGGCGUAAAGGGCUCGUAGGCGGCCACCUAAGUCGAUUGUGAAAUCCCUCGGCUCAACCGGGGAACUGCGACCGAUACUGGGUGGCUUGUAGCCGGGAGAGGGAUGCGGAAUUCCAGGUGUAGCGGUGAAAUGCGUAGAUAUCUGGAGGAACACCCGUGGCGAAGGCGGCAUCCUGGACCGGCCUUGACGCUGAGGAGCGAAAGCUAGGGGAGCGAACGGGAUUAGAUACCCCGGUAGUCCUAGCCCUAAACGAUGAAUGCUUGGUGUGGCGGGUAUCGAUCCCCUGCCGUGCCGUAGCUAACGCGUUAAGCAUUCCGCCUGGGGAGUACGGUCGCAAGGCUG